RNAcentral lists this transfer RNA (68 nucleotides) under Auplopus sp. SJW-2017. RNAcentral describes it as "tRNA-Ala". The record is from RNAcentral. Lineage: Eukaryota; Metazoa; Arthropoda; Insecta; Hymenoptera; Pompilidae.
AGGAUAUUAGUUAAAUUUAUAAUAUUUAAUUUGCAUUUAAAAGUAACUUUUUAAGUAAGUAUAUCUUA